AUUGAACGCUGGCGGAAUGCUUUACACAUGCAAGUCGAACGGCAGCACGGACUUCGGUCUGGUGGCGAGUGGCGAACGGGUGAGUAAUGUAUCGGAACGUGCCCAGUCGUGGGGGAUAACGUAGUGAAAAUUACGCUAAUACCGCAUACGAUCUAUGGAUGAAAGCGGGGGAUCGCAAGACCUCGCGCGAUUGGAGCGGCCGAAAUCAGAUUAGGUAGUUGGUGGGGUAAAGGCCCACCAAGCCAACGAUCUGUAGCUGGUCUGAGAGGACGACCAGCCACACGGGAACUGAGACACGGUCCAGACUCCUACGGGAGGCAGCAGUGGGGAAUUUUGGACAAUGGGCGAAAGCCUGAUCCAGCCAUUCCGCGUGCAGGAUGAAGGCCCUCGGGUUGUAAACUGCUUUUGUACAGAACGAAAAGGUUUCUACUAAUACUAGGAGCUCAUGACGGUACUGUAAGAAUAAGCACCGGCUAACUACGUGCCAGCAGCCGCCGUAA
Molecule: ribosomal RNA, 500 nt
Filed under: uncultured bacterium
Lineage: Bacteria
Description: partial 16S ribosomal RNA
Rfam family: Bacterial small subunit ribosomal RNA
Source: RNAcentral